This is a long non-coding RNA of Fukomys damarensis (Damara mole-rat), 462 nucleotides long. RefSeq lists it as uncharacterized. NCBI's taxonomy places the organism in Eukaryota, Metazoa, Chordata, Mammalia, Rodentia, Bathyergidae. The record is from RefSeq and is a predicted model, not a curated record. The transcript is spliced from 3 exons.
GGCAGAAGAGUCGGAAGGUACAAGAGAUAUGAGUGCGUUCCGGUUUCCCACCUGCAGCGGUGCCUCCCAUAAUCCACCUGGCCUGGCUUCCGGUGGGCCUGGCCAUCUUCUUUUGAAACUUACGUCACACGUCCUACCGCGCGUGUGCGCCCACCUUUGCCGCGACACGUAUGGCGGCGCUGUGCUUGUACUAAAGUCCUUUAAACCUUAGGUGAUUCUCGGGUAGACUUGAAGCACUUGAAAGAAGCCACGGGCACCAUGAGCUGGUACUUUAUCACAAAACAGCCUUUCAGAAGAAGUCAGUGUAUAUCUUUGCAGGAUGCAGAUGAGGGACACAGGAGCUAUGGCACAUCCACCUGUUACAUCCUUGGCACCGCACAACUGAGAAGUGAAUGUUCACUGUCCAGAACCUGGGAAAUUAGAGUGGGAGGGCACACGGGCAGAGUUUCAUCAGAGUCCCUG